This 253-nucleotide ribosomal RNA is filed under the name uncultured bacterium. Its description in RNAcentral is "partial 16S ribosomal RNA". It matches the Rfam family "Bacterial small subunit ribosomal RNA", at positions 524 to 776 of the family's 1533-position model. The record is from RNAcentral.
UACAGAGGUGGCAAGCGUUGUUCGGAAUUACUGGGCGUAAAGGGCGCGUAGGCGGUCUUGUAAGUCCCGUGUGAAAUCCCCCGGCUCAACUGGGGAACGGCACGGGAGACUGCGAGGCUUGAGUUCGGGAGAGGGAAGCGGAAUUCCGGGUGUAGCGGUGAAAUGCGUAGAUAUCCGGAGGAACACCGGUGGCGAAGGCGGCUUCCUGGACCGACACUGACGCUAAGGCGCGAAAGCUAGGGGAGCAAACGGG